RNAcentral lists this ribosomal RNA (492 nucleotides) under uncultured bacterium. Its description in RNAcentral is "partial 16S ribosomal RNA". It matches the Rfam family "Bacterial small subunit ribosomal RNA", at positions 30 to 507 of the family's 1533-position model. The record is from RNAcentral.
AGUGAACGCUGGCGGUAGGCCUAACACAUGCAAGUCGAACGGCAGCACAGUAAGAGCUUGCUCUUACGGGUGGCGAGUGGCGGACGGGUGAGGAAUACAUCGGAAUCUACUUUUUCGUGGGGGAUAACGUAGGGAAACUUACGCUAAUACCGCAUACGACCUACGGGUGAAAGCAGGGGAUCUUCGGACCUUGCGCGAUUGAAUGAGCCGAUGUCGGAUUAGCUGGUUGGGGGGGUAAAGGCCCACCAAGGCGACGAUCCGUCGCUGGUCUGAGAGGAUGACGAGAGACAAUGGGAUUUAGAGAAGGAUGAGAUCAUGACGGAAGGAGGACUGGGGGAAGGUUGGAGAAGGGUGGCAAGCGUUAAGCAGCAAUGGGGGGUGAAGGACGAAGGCAUUAGAGUUGCAAACUGCUUUGGUGCGGAACGAAAAGGACCUGCCUAAUACCUGGGGCUAAGGACGGUACCGUAAGAAUGAGCACCGGCUAACUCCGUG